AUUAAGUAUUGAUUUAAAAAAAAAUUGUCCUGGACAUGUUCCCUGCAGCUUCAUGAGAAUCACCCAGGUAGGUAAUUUUUGCUUGUUUGGGGAAAUGAUUAUUUUUACCGUAUAAAUUAUUAUACGUAUAUUAAAUGAAUACCCUGAAAAAGUAGUUAGCUACUAUUCUUACUUUUUAGCCGGUUAGCUCCAUUUACCCGCAUUCAUUGAAGACUCCCUCGCGGGCUCCUUCUAGCGGUUUGAUAGAAAGUGAGCAGGCUCACCAUUAUAAACCGGCUAUGGGGCGGCACGUGACCUGCAAAGUGUCAAUACGUGCGACUGCACGCGGGAGGCGGCGGCGUGUCCCAGAGCUAAGUAUUCAGGGGUAGAGCAGUGUGCAGUGUUAUAAUGAGAUUUAACACUGUAACAGCAGCACUGCACCUCACCAGGCGUCUGAUUUCACACGCGCCCCCCUGUAAUGUAAUAGAGCAGAUGGAUGGAGCUACUCAUGUGAAGAGGCUCUCAAUCGAAGGGAACAUAGCGGUGGGGAAGUCAACGUUUGCUAAGGUACUGAAGAAUGCAGGACAAAACUGGGAAGUCACACCUGAACCUGUCAGCAAAUGGCAGAAUGUUGAGGCAGCAACUUCCCAAGUAAGAUCAUUAGUUUGCCUACAGUCUCUGUUCCCUUAAGAUACCUAUAUGAUACAACUCAUUAAAUGUUUAAAGAGGAUUUCUUGAUGCACUGGAUCAGGGAGACGUGUUGGGGCAGUAAAAAGUUAGUUCUCACAACUGAAACAACCAUUUUUUUAAACAAACCAAUAGAUUCCAUUCAUCUUUACUUAACCUCUUGUGUAGAUUAGGGCUGCAGCAAUAAGUCCAAAUAAUCAGCAAUGUUGUUUUAUUAAGGUCUGUUGUUACUAAAACAUGUGACUUAAAUUUAAUGGAGUGGACAGAGUACAGUAUCUCCCUAAUACUUUCCAGUUAACAUUAUUUUAUCUAGUGUUAGUAAUGUUAAUGAAGGAGUCAAUCCUGUUUUGACUCACCUUAGCAGCUCUCUGCAGUAAUGUAACUCACCACGGGAGAUAUACAAGUCAGUGUUUAAACAGUAAAUAUUUUUUGUAGAACUGUAGCAGCAAUGUGUAGUGGGCUCAGGUGCCUGUCAGAGUUCAACCAGUUCAGAGUGGAAGCACUCAUGUAGCGUCAGCCCAGUGGUAGGUGCGUGAAAAGGCUGUGUUGAGGGUGUGUACUGUCCCUGAUAAUGCCGUGGGCCCUUCUGAUGACCAUGGACUUGUAAAUGUCCUG
Molecule: long non-coding RNA, 1281 nt
Filed under: Astyanax mexicanus (Mexican tetra)
Lineage: Eukaryota; Metazoa; Chordata; Actinopteri; Characiformes; Acestrorhamphidae
Description: lncRNA (ENSAMXG00005017579.1)
Source: RNAcentral